Molecule: unclassified non-coding RNA, 302 nt
Filed under: Clavatospora longibrachiata
Lineage: Eukaryota; Fungi; Ascomycota; Sordariomycetes; Microascales; Halosphaeriaceae
Description: partial internal transcribed spacer region
Rfam family: Eukaryotic small subunit ribosomal RNA (bases 1-46)
Source: RNAcentral
AAGUCGUAACAAGGUUUCCGUAGGUGAACCUGCGGAAGGAUCAUUACCGAGAUAUUUUUGUGUAACUUUUGUUCACGAAAUCUCCCACCCUUUGUGUUAAUCGAUAUUAUUACUUUGGUGAAGCGUGUUUAGUUGUAUGCUUUAGUUUCGACGAAAAGUAGACACCUAAAUCCAUUGACUUUCUUGAUUGAGAGUGGGUGCGUUCUUCACCAAAGGAACUUCAAACUCUUUAUUAUCAAAACAAUUGUCUGAGUUUAUAUUUUAAAUAAACAAAACUUUCAACAACGGAUCUCUUGGUUCUG